RNAcentral lists this ribosomal RNA (468 nucleotides) under uncultured bacterium. Its description in RNAcentral is "partial 16S ribosomal RNA". It matches the Rfam family "Bacterial small subunit ribosomal RNA", at positions 28 to 507 of the family's 1533-position model. The record is from RNAcentral.
GACGAACGCUGGCGGCGUGCUUAACACAUGCAAGUCGAACGGAAAGGCCCUGCUUUUGUGGGGUGCUCGAGUGGCGAACGGGUGGGUAACACGUGAGUAACCUGCCCUUGACUUUGGGAUAACUUCAGGAAACUGGGGCUAAUACCGGAUAGGAGCUCCUGCUGCAUGGUGGGGGUUGGAAAGUUUCGGCGGUUGGGGAUGGACUCGCGGCUUAUCAGCUUGUUGGUGGGGUAGUGGCUUACCAAGGCUUUGACGGGUAGCCGGCCUGAGAGGGUGACCGGCCACAUUGGGACUGAGAUACGGCCCAGACUCCUACGGGAGGCAGCAGUGGGGAAUAUUGCACAAUGGGCGGAAGCCUGAUGCAGCAACGCCGCGUGCGGGAUGACGGCCUUCGGGUUGUAAACCGCUUUCGCCUGUGACGAAGCGUGAGUGACGGUAAUGGGCAAAGAAGCACCGGCUAACUACGUG